This 120-nucleotide ribosomal RNA is filed under the name Helianthus annuus (common sunflower). The record is from RNAcentral. Lineage: Eukaryota; Viridiplantae; Streptophyta; Magnoliopsida; Asterales; Asteraceae.
GGUUGCGAUCAUACCUGCACUAAUGCACCGGAUCCCAUCAGAACUCCGCAGUUAAGCGUGCUUGGGCGAGAGUAGUACUAGGAUGGGUGACCCCCUGGGAAGUCCUCGUCUUGCAACCCC